Molecule: small nucleolar RNA, 169 nt
Rfam family: Small nucleolar RNA snR4
AACUAUUACAGUCGAUGAGGAUAGGUUAUAGUUAAGUCAUCCGUUGAAGUAUCUGGCCGUGCUCUCGAUAGGAACUAGUGUCUUUGUCGUGGGGCUGGCGGGCGCUGUGGAUUGCACCGUGGCCUUUCACCACCUUAUAGCGGUGCUUGUGCGUGUACAACUGAGGCUG